This 549-nucleotide ribosomal RNA is filed under the name Bacillus safensis. RNAcentral describes it as "bacterial SSU rRNA". It matches the Rfam family "Bacterial small subunit ribosomal RNA", at positions 182 to 718 of the family's 1533-position model. Lineage: Bacteria; Bacillati; Bacillota; Bacilli; Caryophanales; Bacillaceae. The record is from RNAcentral.
UUGANCNCAUGNUCAAGGAUGAAGACGGUUUCNGCUGUCACUUACAGAUGGACCCGCGGCGCAUUAGCUAGUUGGUGGGGUAAUGGCUCACCAAGGCGACGAUGCGUANCCNACCUGAGAGGGUGAUCGGCCACACUGGGACUGAGACACGGCCCAGACUCCUACGGGGAGGCAGCAGUAGGGAAUCUUCCGCAAUGGACGAAAGUCUGACGGAGCAACGCCGCGUGAGUGAUGAAGGUUUUCGGAUCGUAAAGCUCUGUUGUUAGGGAAGAACAAGUGCGAGAGUAACUGCUCGCACCUUGACGGUACCUAACCAGAAAGCCACGGCUAACUACGUGCCAGCAGCCGCGGUAAUACGUAGGUGGCAAGCGUUGUCCGGAAUUAUUGGGCGUAAAGGGCUCGCANGCGGUUUCUUAAGUCUGAUGUGAAAGCCCCCGGCUCAACCGGGGAGGGUCAUUGGAAACUGGGAAACUUGAGUGCAGAAGAGGAGAGUGNAAUNCCACGUGUAGCGGUGAAAUGCGUAGAGAUGUGGAGGAACACCAGUGGCGA